UUCAGUAGUUAAAGUGGAAAUCACUACAGAGUUAUUCAAUUCUUGCAACUUUUGGACAGAAGCAAGGGCUCGAUUCUUCCCCACAUCAUCCUCCGUAAAAACAAAAUUGCUGGACAAGUCCCACAAUUCAACAACUCCCUCAUCGUGCAAGGUCACUGACUUGACCCCAGCAAGAAUCAGAUUCUUUGCAAUUUCCGCGCCGAGACCUUGCAUGCCCGAUACAAGGAUGUUGGAAGCAAAGAGCCGCCGCAUGGUCUCACGGCC
This 264-nucleotide unclassified non-coding RNA is filed under the name Hevea brasiliensis (rubber tree). The record is from RNAcentral. Lineage: Eukaryota; Viridiplantae; Streptophyta; Magnoliopsida; Malpighiales; Euphorbiaceae.